CUCUCUGCUCUCUCUCUAGGGCUCCCUUCCCUCGUUCCCUUUCCUCCUGCGGCCCGACACCAACCCUCCCCCAAAUCCCCCACGCCACCGCCGCGCCGUCGCCGCCUCCUCCUCGGCGGCGCGUCUCCUUCUCCUCAUCAUCCUUCGCCGCUACCCCUUGCGGCCUCCUACGACCCCAGGGCCCCCACGCGGGGCGUGGCCCGGACGCUCCCCUGACCUUGGCUGCGGCUAGGG
This 234-nucleotide long non-coding RNA is filed under the name Oryza brachyantha (malo sina). RNAcentral describes it as "long non-coding RNA (OBRA_LNC000802)". Lineage: Eukaryota; Viridiplantae; Streptophyta; Magnoliopsida; Poales; Poaceae. The record is from RNAcentral.